Molecule: long non-coding RNA, 208 nt
Organism: Mauremys reevesii (Reeves's turtle)
Lineage: Eukaryota; Metazoa; Chordata; Testudines; Geoemydidae
Exons: 3
Source: RefSeq, a predicted model, not a curated record
GAUUCCCAGCCCUGGUGGUGGCUAUUUCUGCAGCCAUGAAUCCUGAAGGCUACGGAACUUCCAAACACUGCUGGCUCACCCUGGAGAGAGGCUUUCGUUGGAGCUUCCUGGGACCAGUCUGUGUCAUAAUCCUGAUAAAUUUAACAUUUUUUCUUGUAACCCUCUGGAUCCUGAGAGACAAACUGUCCUCCCUUAAUGAAGAUGUGUC